UACCCAUGUGACUUAUAACUGGUUUUGUGGUCUUCUCAAUUACUGCCACUGUGAACAGUGAUGAUGGAGCACAAACUGCAUGUCAUGAUCAAGUAAAAAAAUAUGAUGUUAAUGUCCUAAAGAUGUGUCUAAACAUUCAUCUUCUGCAGUUCCAGUCCAUUCAACAACACUGAUUUCAGUCAGCAGCUCAAAAAUCGAGACUAAAUCGAGCCAAAUUACAGCAGCAGCUCCUACACAAGAUCCAGCUGUCACAGCAUCAACUGAAGUCAGCAGGACUGCUGGAUUAUUAUUCAGAGUGAUUGUGAUGAUUGUUGAGAUCGCAGUGUUUGCUGCUCCUACUGUGAUUCUUCUUCAGAUCAUCUGUGCAAGAAGAGCUGG
Long non-coding RNA from Megalobrama amblycephala (Wuchang bream), 378 nucleotides. RefSeq lists it as uncharacterized. NCBI's taxonomy places the organism in Eukaryota, Metazoa, Chordata, Actinopteri, Cypriniformes, Xenocyprididae. The transcript has 3 exons. The record is from RefSeq and is a predicted model, not a curated record.